Molecule: ribosomal RNA, 301 nt
Filed under: uncultured bacterium
Lineage: Bacteria
Description: partial 16S ribosomal RNA
Rfam family: Bacterial small subunit ribosomal RNA
Source: RNAcentral
CAGCAGCCGCGGGAAUACGGAGGGGGCUAGCGUUGUUCGGAAUUACUGGGCGUAAAGCGCACGUAGGCGGCUUGGUAAGUUAGAGGUGAAAGCCUGGAGCUCAACUCCAGAAUUGCCUUUAAGACUGCCGAGCUAGCAGGUGAGAGAGGUAAGUGGAAUUCCGAGUGUAGAGGUGAAAUUCGUAGAUAUUCGGAAGAACACCAGUGGCGAAGGCGGCUUACUGGCUCAUACUGGACGCUGAGGUGCGAAAGCGUGGGGAGCAAACAGGAUUAGAGACCCCUGUAGUCCCUGUCUCUUAUAC